RNAcentral lists this ribosomal RNA (238 nucleotides) under uncultured bacterium. RNAcentral describes it as "partial 16S ribosomal RNA". It matches the Rfam family "Bacterial small subunit ribosomal RNA", at positions 100 to 339 of the family's 1533-position model. The record is from RNAcentral.
GAACGGGUGAGGAACACGUGAGAAACCUGCCUUUCAUUCUGGGAUAACACCGGGAAACCGGUGCUAAUACCGGAUACUCCAUCUUGGCGGCAUCGCCGAGCUGGGAAAAAAUUUUGAUGAAAGAUGGUCUCGCGGCCUAUCAGCUAGUUGGUGAGGUAAAGGCUCACCAAGGCGACGACGGGUAGCCGGCCUGAGAGGGCGACCGGCCACACUGGGACUGAGACACGGCCCAGACUCC